UACGGAGGGUGCAAGCGUUAUCCGGAUUCACUGGGUUUAAAGGGUGCGUAGGUGGGUUGGUAAGUCAGUGGUGAAAGCCCGGAGCUCAACUCCGGAACUGCCAUUGAAACUGUAAGACUUGAGGAUGAGAGAGGUGAGUGGAAUUCCCAGUGUAGAGGUGAAAUUCGUAGAUAUUGGGAAGAACACCGGUGGCGAAGGCGGCUCACUGGCUCAUUACUGACGCUCAGGCGCGACAGCGUGGGGAUCAAACAGG
This 253-nucleotide ribosomal RNA is filed under the name uncultured bacterium. RNAcentral's name for it is "partial 16S ribosomal RNA". It matches the Rfam family "Bacterial small subunit ribosomal RNA", at positions 524 to 776 of the family's 1533-position model. The record is from RNAcentral.